This 778-nucleotide long non-coding RNA is filed under the name Mytilus galloprovincialis (Mediterranean mussel). Lineage: Eukaryota; Metazoa; Mollusca; Bivalvia; Mytilida; Mytilidae. The record is from RNAcentral.
GCUUCGAAUAUCAGCAACGUCAAUACAAUUAAUUAAAACAUGCAAGUAUGCUAUUAAACAUGUUUUACAAUUAAUUAAAACAUGUUUAAUAGCCUACUUGCAGUUACAAGGUAUACAUUGUGGUUCUACUUCCUUUUUUAAAAGAUAUUCGUGUGUUAUUUUAGUACGACAUCUAGAAAUAACACACCGAUCUUUUCUGCACAUACAAUUAUUGAAAGGUUGACUUAAAUUAGGUUUAAUUUCAUGUAAUUAGGUUUUUCCACUUUUCCGUGGAAAGACCUAUGGCUAUUCAUCUGAUAAUUAUUGGGUUUUUUUCUUCCGCCUAUUUUUUUUCCUUCGCUGUUUUCUUGUUUGCAAGAUGUCGCUUAGAUAUUUCGAAUAUGAUAUCGAACAGUACAUACGCUUUUAAAACUGACACCGCUUAACCCAAUACUUUCCCAUUUAGAGCUAUCUCCCCGAACACUAUUUUUCUCGUUAUCUCUAAGGUUUCUCAACCGUACAAGAAACCGACAAAUUUGUUUUACCAAAUUGCUCGUUCUAUCCUCAGGAUGAUCUCUUUUAUUAUGACCGAAGCUGUAUAGAGAUUCCAUAUGGAAGUUUUUCCCCUUUUGUAUUUGAUAGAAGUGAAAUGUACUUUCAACUGGAAAACCAUAAGUGAAAGAGGCCUAGGGUCUUUGAUUGAGGCCUUGUCCAAAAAUGAUAAUGCAGGUCAGUUCAAAAUUUUGAUUUUAGCUUAUCUCUUAUUUUCAGAAAUCAUAUAAGAUAUCGACAAAAAGAC